Molecule: ribosomal RNA, 402 nt
Filed under: bacterium
Lineage: Bacteria
Description: partial 16S ribosomal RNA
Rfam family: Bacterial small subunit ribosomal RNA
Source: RNAcentral
UGGGGAAUUUUGCACAAUGGGGGAAACCCUGAUGCAGCGACGCCGCGUGAUUUAGAAGGCCUUCGGGUUGUAAAAUUCUUUUCUAUGGGAAGAAAAUGACAGUACCAUAGGAAUAAGGACCGGCUAAUUACGUGCCAGCAGCCGCGGUAAUACGUAAGGUCCGAGCGUUGUCCGGAAUCAUUGGGCGUAAAGGGUACGUAGGCGGGUAAGCAAGUUAGAAGUGAAAUCCUAUAGCUCAACUAUAGUAAGCUUUUAAAACUGCUCAUCUUGAGGUAUGGAAGGGAAAGUGGAAUUCCUAGUGUAGCGGUGAAAUGCGCAGAUAUUAGGAGGAAUACCGGUGGCGAAGGCGACUUUCUGGCCAUAACCUGACGCUGAGGUACGAAAGCGUGGGUAGCAAACAGG